This is a long non-coding RNA of Oncorhynchus kisutch (coho salmon), 183 nucleotides long. RefSeq lists it as uncharacterized. NCBI's taxonomy places the organism in Eukaryota, Metazoa, Chordata, Actinopteri, Salmoniformes, Salmonidae. The transcript is spliced from 3 exons. The record is from RefSeq and is a predicted model, not a curated record.
GCCAGCUGAUCCAAAAUAAAGUCCAGUCUACUCUGAGAUGAAGACAGGGAAAGCCACAACAGCUGGACCUGUUGAUGUGACCUAUGCUGAGGUUGUCCUCCAAAAGAAGACCAAAGCCAAGAAGAAGAGAAACAACAACCCCACCUGAGGCAGAUUCAGUCUAUUCUCAACUUAAGCCAGGCA